RNAcentral lists this long non-coding RNA (747 nucleotides) under Sinocyclocheilus anshuiensis. RNAcentral's name for it is "lncRNA (ENSSANG00000050566.1)". Lineage: Eukaryota; Metazoa; Chordata; Actinopteri; Cypriniformes; Cyprinidae. The record is from RNAcentral.
CGGAGAACGAGCGCAUGAAGAUGUACUUUACCGGAGUUUGUCCGGUAAUGUCAUGAGUGAAAACGUCUCGGAAACCAUCUGGUCUACGCCGCUCAGAUAAGACGAACACACCAAGAGGAUUUUUAAUGUUUUUGAAGACAAAGUAAACCUCGAGGAGCGUCUGUCUGGAUGAAAUUGACAGAAAGACGUUAGGAUCGAAUAUAAACAGAACAUCACAGCGGACAGGGGGAGCAGUGAAGCUAUAAUCUGAGUAUGGGCCCUGAGGAGCUGCCUGACCUUAUGGACACGAUGUCGAGCACUCCUCCUCCGUCUCCUCGUCCUGUUUGUUCCUCAUUCUCACCUCCUCACUGCUCUCCACCGGUCGUGACCUUACGCUCCCCUGCCACUCGUUACCUGACUCAGCUCGACCCCUGGAGGAGACACAGCUGGGAACCUGGAGCUGUGGCACAGGGAUAUCCACCCAAUGACACACGCAGUGUGAGUCUUGAAGAUCUGAACCCGGAUGAGAUGUCCUUAGUGCUAAACAGUGCAUGGAAGUCAAAAAGAGCCCGAGAAGCCCGCAGGUCUGUCACUCAAGCUUCCCUGACGUCACUUACUGAGGAGGAAGUUGGAGCAGAGCAUCAGGAACAUCAUCGAUCAGCGCUGGAGGAGCAGUCCAAUCAGAUGCAUGGCUGCAGUGUCUCCGCCCCCAGCCUGUGUAUGAUGCAGCUGAUGCCUAGAAGCUCCGCCCCUCGCCCACGCUCCUAC